AGAACAUACUACUCAAGCAGUAAUAAGGAGAAGAGAAACACAACUACAACAUGCUAUACGCUGCAGACAGCAUUAAGAAUCUUGAGAGAAGAUCAAUUUGAGGAAAAUUAAGGAAUCAUUAUUAGUAAUGAUUCAGAAUUUAUCGACCAUUUACACCCAACUCAAUUCCAUUGGCAAUCUGUUGCACCAAUCACCAGCCAUGAACUCAUAACAAAACAAAGCCUUUGUUGACCAUAUGUUGGAGGUGUGCAAUUAAGAGUUUGCCACAUCAAAUAUUGAAAAAGUUUCAACAACGUCUGAUGAAAAUGAUGCAAAAGAUGAAUAAACAGGUAAGAUUCUGCUUCA
This is a non-coding RNA of Pocillopora verrucosa, 345 nucleotides long. The record is from RefSeq and is a predicted model, not a curated record. Lineage: Eukaryota; Metazoa; Cnidaria; Anthozoa; Scleractinia; Pocilloporidae.